UGCGGGACCAAGCGGGGCGGCAGGCGCGGCACUCAUAAUGCCGGGGUCAGCGGUUCAAGUCCGCUCGCCGCUACCA
RNAcentral lists this transfer RNA (76 nucleotides) under Neoroseomonas lacus. RNAcentral describes it as "tRNA-Met". The stretch from base 11 to 73 matches the Rfam family "tRNA". Rfam says of the family: Transfer RNA (tRNA) molecules are approximately 80 nucleotides in length. Their secondary structure includes four short double-helical elements and three loops (D, anti-codon, and T loops). Further hydrogen bonds mediate the characteristic L-shaped molecular structure. tRNAs have two regions of fundamental functional importance: the anti-codon, which is responsible for specific mRNA codon recognition, and the 3' end, to which the tRNAs corresponding amino acid is attached (by aminoacyl-tRNA synthetases). tRNAs cope with the degeneracy of the genetic code in two manners: having more than one tRNA (with a specific anti-codon) for a particular amino acid; and 'wobble' base-pairing, i.e. permitting non-standard base-pairing at the 3rd anti-codon position. The record is from RNAcentral. Lineage: Bacteria; Pseudomonadati; Pseudomonadota; Alphaproteobacteria; Acetobacterales; Acetobacteraceae.